ACGGCCCUGAUUUGCUUCUCUGUUGCAACUUGGCUUAAAGAGGUUGUCUCAGCCCAGCUUAGAGGAUGUUGAGCUUGUCUCCCGCACGCUGUGUGUGAGGUACCUGAUCUCUGGGCUGAAUUGUGUGCUGUGUGUCCCUGUGAGUAAAUAUGCUUGAAAUUGGAGAAAGAUCUAGCCUUUUGCAUGGCUACAUGUCGCACAGAACAUGGAACUACAGCAACCUGAAAAUGAGAGAGCCAUUUUAAAAUGCAACACUGAAUCAGGAAGUGUUGACUUGAAGAAUGGAAUGGAGUGACAUCACUGGGGUAUCCCAGUCACAUUUGGAAGGACCCUGAACGGAUGGGAGGUUUGCUCCGGGGGGUACUUCCUGUCAAUGGGGUCAGGUGGCUGACGGGGGAGUAGAAGCACUUCCUGUACAUGCAUGAGGGCCUCUUCUCCAAGACUGUGAAAUAGAAACAGGUGCAUUUUGGGUUAUGAAUAACCAUUGAUUUUAAAAAUAAAUGAAUAUAGACUUUAUCAGCUGUUUAAAGUGUCCUUCAGCAAUCUUUCCUAUGUUAAAUAAAUACAGUUAACUAACACAACUGAUCUGUGUAUAUUGAGCAGGAUGUAUGUUUAAAGUUGUUUGCAUUGUCAUUGUUACUUAGAAGUAAUUUGUGUAAGAAUGUUCAUGGCACUGUGGAGGUCAUCUCUGUUGCAGCUUUAAUUUAAUGUUCUGCCCAAGACACUCCAAAUACCAAUCGUGUGUGCAAUUAAAAACAUGAAAAUCUACACACAGUUAAUACUGUAAUGGAACCUUUUUACAAAAUAAAUAGAUUAAUGCAAUUCUGUUCAUGGCACUUCAGUUUUGAAUUUUGUAGACUUGAUUGUAUUUAAUUAUAAUAGUUAAUUUGAAGGUUAAAGUGGAAAAUGAUUAGAAUCAGUGAAUUGGUACUGGCAUAAAUGUGAAUAUCAUCUUUGCAAGUACUUGCUGACAAACAACAUGUUCCAAACAUUAGACAUUUUUGUCUUUAUUUAGGUAUAUUGUUCAUAAAAAUAAAUCCUCUGAGAGGAAAUACCAUUGCUGAGAACUGAGUUAAUAAAUAUCUUGCAUAUUAGCAGUUGUAUUUACUGAAGACUACAUUUAAUAUAUCAUGUUGAUCUGAAAACAAGCGCGAUACAAAAAUAUAAUAAUGUAAUUACACAAUUUGGAGAGCACAUGCACACACACACACAGACACACUCUUGCACACACCCACACAGACACACACACACUGCACUAGUGUACACAAUGCAACAGAGAGGCACACAAAAAAUGGGGAACUAGGAAACUCUCUUUCAGAUUCAGUUCCCCAUCGGGGGCCUGUGAAUGACUGUUGUGGGUCUGUGCACUUGACACGAAUAUUAGGCCUUGCCAAGCACAGAGACGCCAUGGGGAGGGGAGAGGGUUCGCCUAGCUUCCCAGAGAAAAUAACAGAUCUUCUUCAGAGAACAGGGAGGAAAACGCUUUGGUCAGCACCACACAUAACUGUCCUUUACCCAGACAGGAGCAAAACACUGAUAUAGUCGCUGGGGCCUAGUGGACUGAGAAACACGUGUGUGUUUACAACAGAAGCAAUCUAAGAGAUAAAUGAAGGAGAAAGUAAUUUUAAAAAUAUCUCGAAACCACCUGAAACAGGAUACAGAUUCAUGUUUUUGUGUUUUCUUUUCCAGUUUUGGAUUUUGAAAUAGUUUUUAAGCUCAUUAUGUUUAAUAUACUGUUUCCACAGUAGAAUUAUUGUAGUCUUGCGGGCUGAUUCUUUUAGAAAUAAAAAAAUGGACAGAAUGUACAGUGCUUGAGCACUUUUUAAUAUCCUACUUUACAAUAUUAAAUAAAAUUAUUUUGAAUUAGAAAAUCAAA
Anguilla rostrata (American eel) is the source of this 1876-nucleotide long non-coding RNA. RefSeq lists it as uncharacterized. NCBI's taxonomy places the organism in Eukaryota, Metazoa, Chordata, Actinopteri, Anguilliformes, Anguillidae. The transcript has 2 exons. The record is from RefSeq and is a predicted model, not a curated record.